Molecule: long non-coding RNA, 250 nt
Filed under: Mytilus galloprovincialis (Mediterranean mussel)
Lineage: Eukaryota; Metazoa; Mollusca; Bivalvia; Mytilida; Mytilidae
Source: RNAcentral
GUCAAAAUAAAUCAAAUCAUCCUGAGGAUAUAACGAGCAAUUUGGUAAAAUAAAUUUGUCGGUUUCUUAUACAGUUGCGAAUAUUAAGCGAUCACAAGAAAAACAGUGUUUGGGGAGAUAACUCUUACAUUGAAAAGAUUUUGGUUACGCGGUGUCAGUUACAAAAGCGUAAUAACUGUUCGAUAUCAUAUACCAUAUGUCUAAGCAACAUCUUGCAAAACAAAAAAAUUGCGAAGGAACAAAAAGUUGG